UGGGGAAUAGUCUAGCGGUAGGACGGCGGAUUCUGGAUCCGUUAGGGAAGGUUCGAAUCCUUCUUCCCCAGCCA
Molecule: transfer RNA, 74 nt
Filed under: Dehalococcoidales bacterium
Lineage: Bacteria; Bacillati; Chloroflexota; Dehalococcoidia; Dehalococcoidales
Description: tRNA-Gln
Rfam family: tRNA
About the family: Transfer RNA (tRNA) molecules are approximately 80 nucleotides in length. Their secondary structure includes four short double-helical elements and three loops (D, anti-codon, and T loops).
Source: RNAcentral